RNAcentral lists this long non-coding RNA (1169 nucleotides) under Equus asinus (donkey). RNAcentral describes it as "lncRNA (ENSEASG00005023916.1)". The record is from RNAcentral. Lineage: Eukaryota; Metazoa; Chordata; Mammalia; Perissodactyla; Equidae.
UUCCUUCAUCCAUCCCAUUGGUAGGGAUCUUUUCAGUGUUUUCUAGCAAGAAAAAAAUGAAUAAUUCAAACCACCAUACAUGUUACUCAUGACUGUCAUCUAGUCCUAAAUCUCUUCCAUUGUUGAAUGAUCCUAGAAAAACAGCUGAAUAAAUCUGGAGAAAACACAGCACACCAAAGAAGCAGAAUACUGCAAACCAAAGACAUUUCUUACUUGCCAUUUUCUAGCCUAAAAAUACUGUGAUUACUUUUAGAAAUCAGAAAACCUCUGCAACUCCAAAUGGCAUUCAGCUCUUGCAUUCGGCUCGCCAUCAGGCAGAGCAGACUGGCUACACCAAGGACGUUAGCCAAGCCACCCAGGGAGUGGCUUUGCCACGUCAGCUCUGGUUCCUGGCUGUCACCUUCCCACAGCAAGCGGAAGAGUGCCCACGGGACUCUGGGAGAUUGCAAAGGUCACGAUGUGCAUAUUUACCAGUGAAUGGCCCCAGGAGGGCACCAUGGGGAUGUUCAAAGCAAGCCAAACACUGCAAUGAUUCUUUACGGACACUUGAGACUGACUUUUUUAUGAAUUACUUAAUCGAAACCAAAGAAACUUUUUCUGCACCUACUUCUGCAACAAACAAAACCGUCCCAUUAAAAUGAAUAAAUAACGAAAUACGUAAGUCAAUGAAAAUCACCAUCAACAAGAAGGAAGCACGCCAGAAAAAAAAAAAAAACAAACAGCGAGACACACUGUGUUCAAACAGACCUCUUGGGACAUUUUUUGGAAGCAGAUUCUAAAGAAAGGGUUGAGACAAGAAUAGAAAUAAGGAAAAGCCUCAGUGGCGGCUGCUUCAUUUGACAACUCACGCGGUAAUCUUAAAGUUGAAGAUUGUCUUUAAUUUGUGCCUAUGCAGUUUUCAAAAGAACACGGAACAGAGCAACAGAAACCUCAACAGCUACAAUACCAAAGAUGAGGAUUUCUCACACCUCUUGUUUCAGUUCGUUAUAUCCUCUUGCCUGGCUAAAAUACUAAUAGCGCCAUUGAUCUGUGUAAAGAGUUCAUUUGCCGCCGUGGAUGAUUUGGAGUAUUCAGAUUUCUGUGAAAACUCCUGGGAAAGGUUGAAAGUCGAGUUCAAGCAUUUCAGCAUUUAACCUGUUGAUAAAUGGAUCUGUGGUGCAAAUGAGUUU